GAGAUCAUGUUCACCGAGUUUUGUGGCAAACGGGUGGAGUUCCUCAGAGGAGUAUAUCAAAUUCCAGAGCAUGCGUUUUUCACAAAACCCUAAAUAGCCAACUUCCUGUUGGGCGGAGCUUAUGACAUGCAGUGCGAAAGUUGUUUGGUUUGAUGAGAUCUACAUGUGUACCGAUUUUUGUGGCGAACGGGUGGAGUUCCUCAGAGGAGUAUAUCAAAUUCCAGAGCAUGUGUUUUUCACAAAACCCUAAAUAGCCAACUUCCUGUUGGGCGGAGCUUAUGACAUGCAGUGCGAAAGUUGUUUGGUUUGAUGAGAUCUACAUGUGUACCGAGUUUCAUAUGUAUACGUGCAAGUAUGGAUGAUAUAUGGCCCUCAAUAUUCCAGGGGGCGCUGUAGAGCCCCUGUGCCACGCCCGUGUACCAGUCUCUGCCCGGCCCUAAUGGCCGCAGAUUCCAAGGUGUGUGCCAAUUUUCAAGAGUUUUUGAGCAUGUUAAGGGCCCCAAAAGCCCCCGAAACCUUGGAAAAAAAUUAGAAGAAUAAAGAAAAAAAAAAAAAAAUAAUAAUAAUCCUAAGGAAAACAAUAGGGCUCUUCGCCCUCCAGGCUUGAGCCCUAAAAAAUAAUCCUAAGGAAAACAAUAGGGCUCUUCGCCCUCCAGGCUUGAGCCCUAAUAAAGC
Cyprinus carpio carpio is the source of this 675-nucleotide long non-coding RNA. The record is from Ensembl. NCBI's taxonomy places the organism in Eukaryota, Metazoa, Chordata, Actinopteri, Cypriniformes, Cyprinidae.